Molecule: unclassified non-coding RNA, 265 nt
Filed under: uncultured fungus
Lineage: Eukaryota; Fungi
Description: partial contains 5.8S ribosomal RNA, internal transcribed spacer 2, and large subunit ribosomal RNA
Source: RNAcentral
AACGCACAUUGCGCCCGCCGGCACUCCGGCGGGCAUGCCUGUCCGAGCGUCAUUUCAACCCUCAGGCCCUCCCUUCCGGGGGACGGGCCUGGUGUUGGGGCUCGGGGUCCGCAAGGCCCCCGUCCCCUAAACCCAGUGGCGGUCGCGCUGUAAUCCCCUGCGUAGUAACACACCUCGCACCGGAGACCAGCUCGGCCACGCCGUAAAACACCCCAAUUUUACCAAGGUUGACCUCGGAUCAGGUAGGAAUACCCGCUGAACUUAA